Molecule: small nucleolar RNA, 67 nt
Organism: Astatotilapia calliptera (eastern happy)
Lineage: Eukaryota; Metazoa; Chordata; Actinopteri; Cichliformes; Cichlidae
Gene: SNORD73
Rfam family: Small nucleolar RNA SNORD73
About the family: U73 is a member of the C/D class of snoRNA which contain the C (UGAUGA) and D (CUGA) box motifs. U73 is encoded within the introns of ribosomal protein S3a and contains a 12nt region of complementarity to a conserved sequence in 28S ribosomal RNA.
Source: Ensembl
AACAAAAGAUGACAAUGUUUCGGUCCCAUAUGAUCACCUGAUUACCUAAUUGAGAUCAGCUGAUGUU